UCCUCAGAUGCCUUAAAUGUGUUAGAAUCAAGUUGAAGGAUGUCUAUAAUAUACAGAGAAUGGAUCUAGCAAAGCUCUAAUUAAAGAGGAUGUCAUUGUUUCUUCAUCUCUUCAGUUGUACAAUUUCUAGCGAGGUUUAGGAAAUGGAAGCCUCAUAAGUGGAGAUGCAGAAGCCUUCAGCUGCUUCUAUGUUACUGACACUUUGAGGUCUUAGCUGCAGCAUGUGGGAUCUAGCUCCGUGACCAAGGAUUGAACCCGGGUUCCCUGGCACUGGGAGCACAGUCUCAGCCACUGCACUACCAGAGAAGUUCCGUCACUAAGUCAUCUCAACCAUCUGUAUUUCUCCAAAGCAGUUUCUAAAGCCCCAGUGAAUUAUUUCAUGUGAAGUGGAGCUAAAAGCACAUCACUCCUCCCUGCUCCCUCAAGAACAUGGAUGGCAGAUUUGUCUUUAAAAGGCAUGCAGGGAAGAAGGUGAAGCAUGAAAAUCCUUUUGAGCACUGGUGGGGUUAGUUAAGCCAUGGAUCCAACCAAAGAGAGAAAUCACAGGUAAUAAUUUUUUUCUUCCACUUGGUGAUUAGUAGAGCAACUAGUCGAGUCAUCCUGAUGGAUUCUGCUCCAGGGCAAGCCUGAGGUUUCUGUGGAGGGUCAGUGGGUGCACUGGCAGCAACUGGGCUGGGUGGGAGGGUUUUAGCGAAUCCCCUGUCUUGGUACAGACAGCCCUGGGCAUCCUGCCAGAAGUGUGGCCAGAGUUCAGGGCCUGAGGUUCCCAAAGCAAAAAUGAUCCACCAUGGGAAAACCAAACUUCACCGCAAAUCUGAUCACAGAAUCACAUUUCAAACCUGAAAGCGGUGUGUGAAUUCAGCGUGCUGCAGAGAAAUGAGUUGUAUCAGCUUUAGGUCUAAAGCCCCGCAGGUGUCAAUUUCUUUAGGUGUGGUUUUGGUGGCAAUAGUAGGAAAGUGCUAUUUGUUAGAGAAGAGGCAUAGUAACAGGGUCCCAGAGGAAUUGCCCCAGAAAGCCCUGAGAAGUAUUCCGUUCCUUGAGGUUUCUUCAUUCUGAGUCAACUGGAGAAAUAAUUUCUUCUGGUGGUUUUGCUCCUUUCCUGCCUCCUGUUGAACGAUAUUUAAUUUUCCUUUCUGUUAAUAAUAUCAAUUCUAUAGUUAUAUAAGCCGUUUUUUAAAAACAAAACUUUUUCACUUUAGGUCAAAAUAUAACUUUUUUGAUGCUGGAUGUAGCUCACACAAACAUCUCAGAAAAAUAACAGUAACACUGUCAUGGAUAUCUUUAUCUGGUUUCUGACCUUAAAAGGGAAUUUGAGAUGACUAUUGCUUCUCAUAAUAUGAAAUAUUUUUAUAUUACUAAUGGUAUUAUCAGAAAAGGUAAAAUUUCUCAACUGCCUCAGAGCAACUAUGGAGAGAAUCAUAUGAGUUUUUCCUUUGUGUACUAUUGAGACAAUUUUUUUUUAAACAAAAAUCAUAGUAUUAAGCCAUCCUUGAAUUUUUAGAAUAAACCUCAGUAUUGAAAAAUGAUUUCUAUAAGUGUUGGGUUUAUGUUGCUGAUAUUUUUGUUAAAGCAAGGAAAAAAAAUUUCCUUUUGCUAUGUUGGCUUUGAGGGUUUUAUUAAUUUUGAAAAAUAAUUUGGGAAGUGUUUCAUCAUUUUGUAACCUUGGAACAAUUUAAUAAACAUGAGAAUUGUUACUUGAAAGUUCUUAAGAACUUGCUCAUAAAAUACUCUGGACCUAAUUCCUUUUUUGGAGAUAGUUAACUGAACAUUAAAAAGAGAUCCUUCAUGAAUUUCAAUCCAUUACAGCUUUCUAAUUCUUAUUGAAUCCAUUUUCCUUGAAAAUUGUACAUUUCAUGGGUUCUAAGAAUUUGUUGCCAUAGAACUUUAAAACGUAUUUUUAUAAUUAAAAAUUUGUUCACAUCUGUGCUUAUUUUGCCAAGUAUUUUGUGUUUCUUUCUUUUCAGUUAGCGUAUAAGUAGUUUGCAUAUUUUAAUCCUAUUUGUAUAGAUGAGAUACUGCAUUUAUUAAUAUAUUUAUCAGUUCCACUUUGUUUCCUGCUGCCUUACUUAAUUUUUGCUUUUAUUUUUAUUCAUUCCUUGCUUAUGUUUCUCUAAGAUUUAAUGUGUUUUCUGCUACCUAUUUGGCGUAUUAUUUAAAAAUCAUUAUGGUCAAAGAUUUCUUAAGUUAGCUUUCUUUUUCAUGAGUUAGCUUUUUUCUUUUUUGGGUUUAUCAGAAAGAUCCACAUUUUUAAAACAAACGAACAAAAAUUAUAGGAACUCGAGCUUUCCCGAUGGCUCAGUAGAUAAAGAAUCCAAGUCUCCUGCAAUGCAGGAGACACAAGAAAUGCAGGUUUGUUCCUGGGUUGGGAAGAUGCCCUGAAGAAGGAAAUGGUAAGCCACUCCAGUAUUCUUGCCUGGAAAAUCCCAUGGACAGAGGAGCCUGGUGGGUUAGAGUCCAAAGGGUCACAAAGGGUCAGAUACGACUGAUGACUCAGCACAGCAGAUGCUCAGUAAACCCAUUUUUCGUGAAGUAUUAAUAAUAGAAACAAAAUCGGAAAAGAAACACCAGUGUUGCUAGGGGUUUUGAGAUGCACUGUGUAGACACUGGGCUAAGGGUUA
This is a long non-coding RNA of Dama dama (fallow deer), 2618 nucleotides long. RefSeq lists it as uncharacterized. The transcript has 4 exons. The record is from RefSeq and is a predicted model, not a curated record. Lineage: Eukaryota; Metazoa; Chordata; Mammalia; Artiodactyla; Cervidae.